UAUAAAGGUAAGCUAAAUAAGCUAAAGGGUUCAUACCCCUUCUAUAAGAGUCAAAUCUCUUCCUUUUUAAUGUUCUUUAAAAAUUAUCAAUUAACAUUUAUAACCACUACAUUUUUAGGCACUUUAAUGGCAGUAUCGUCUAACUCAUGAAUUCUUUGUUGAAUCGGCCUAGAAAUUAACCUAAUAAGAUUUAUCCCUUUAAUUUUAAGAGACCUUAAUUUUAAAUCUACAGAGACAGCAAUCAAAUAUUUUUUAACCCAGGCGGUCGCUUCUGUCAUUUUAAUUACAGCUGCAUCCUUUACAGCCCUUCAAAUAAAAAAUUAUUACUUAGAAAGAAUAAACUUUUUUUUAUUUUUAGCCCUGUCUAUCAAAGCAGGCCUGGCCCCCUUUCACAUCUGAUUUCCUCAAGUUACUGAAUUCAUCUCUUGAUUUAAAUGUUUUAUCAUCUUCACCUGACAAAAAAUUGCCCCAUUCAUAUUAAUUAUUAAUUUUAAUAUCAGUGUGUUUACUUAUUUUAUUAUUAUUAUAUCAGCAACUGCUGGCGCAGUUGGAGGGCUAAACCAAAUAAGUAGAAAAAUUCUAUUAACCUAUUCUUCGAUUUCACACUCAGCAUGAAUACUCAUACUAGCCUCUUUGUCUUUAAAAUUUUGAACUUUUUAUUUUUUAAUUUAUUUUUUUGUUUUAUCACCAAUCAUUUUCGCUAUAAAUUUUUUAAAUUUUAAAAAAAUUAAAGAAAUUAAUUCCUCUAAGAUUAAUCUUAAAACGAAAUUAAUACUAAGAACUCUAAUUAUAUCACUUGGGGGGCUCCCCCCGUUCUUAGGGUUUUUAAGAAAAUUAAUCGCCUUAACAGUAGCUGUAAAAACUUUCCCCAUAGUAAUUAUAAUUACAUUGGUUGCGUCUUCUUUAGUUUCACUUUAUUUUUACACUAAAAUAUUUUUUAAUUCUUUAACAGCUAGCCUCCCUGAAAAAAAAAUCUCAUCGAGUGAGAAAAAAAUCAAUAAAUUCAUCAUUUUCUCCCUAGCCGGAAAUUUAAUUUUAUCAAAUUUAGUUUUAUUAAUUUAAAGUUUUAAGUUAAUAAAACUAAAAGCCUUCAAAGCUUUAAUUAAGAUGGGAGCCUUAAACUUUAAGUUAAGAGCUUAACGCCACUUUAAGAUUUGCAAUCCUAACUCAUAAUUGAAUACAUAACAUUAUAAUAAAAGAGUACACCACUCGUAAUUAAAUUUACAGUUUAACACCUAAACUCAGCCAUUUUAUUUAUGAAACGUUGACUUUUUUCAACCAACCACAAAGAUAUCGGAACUAUGUAUUUAAUUUUUGGAGUUUGAUCUGCUAUGGUCGGCACUGCAUUUAGAGUUUUAAUCCGCCUGGAAUUAGGUCAACCAGGUUCUUUUAUUGGAGACGACCAAAUUUAUAAUGUAAUAGUAACAGCCCAUGCUUUUAUUAUAAUUUUCUUCAUAGUUAUGCCUAUUAUAAUUGGGGGGUUUGGAAAUUGACUAGUUCCACUAAUAAUCGGCGCCCCAGAUAUGGCGUUCCCUCGAAUAAAUAAUAUAAGUUUUUGACUUCUUCCACCUUCAUUAAUCUUACUUUUAUCCGGAGGACUGGUGGAAAGAGGAGCAGGCACAGGCUGAACUGUAUACCCCCCUUUAUCAAGAGGCAUCGCCCACGCUGGAGCUUCUGUAGAUUUAUCAAUUUUCAGACUUCACCUUGCUGGGGCAAGUUCAAUCUUGGGGGCAGUAAAUUUUAUUACAACUAUCAUCAACAUACGAGUUGAGGGUAUGACUUGGGAUCGAACUCCUUUAUUUGUUUGAUCAGUUUUUUUAACCGCUAUCCUUCUCCUGCUUUCCCUUCCAGUUCUUGCUGGAGCCAUUACAAUACUUUUAACAGAUCGUAACCUAAAUACUUCAUUUUUCGACCCUGCCGGGGGCGGCGACCCUAUCUUGUACCAACACUUGUUUUGAUUUUUUGGUCACCCAGAAGUUUAUAUUUUAAUUCUUCCUGGGUUUGGCAUAAUUUCACAUAUUAUUACAUUUGAAAGAGGUAAAAAACAAACUUUCGGUCAACUAGGUAUAAUUUACGCGAUAAUAGCAAUCGGUCUUCUAGGAUUUAUCGUUUGAGCACAUCAUAUAUUUACUGUGGGAAUAGAUGUAGACACUCGUGCUUACUUUACAGCCGCCACUAUAAUUAUUGCCAUCCCCACAGGAGUGAAAAUUUUUAGCUGAGUAGCGACACUUCAAGGAAGAGCUUUAAUUAUCACCCCAACUUUAAUAUGAGCCAUAGGCUUUGUAUUUUUAUUUACUGUGGGGGGUCUCACAGGAAUUAUUUUAGCUAACUCUUCACUUGACAUCGUACUUCACGACACUUACUAUGUAGUCGCCCACUUUCACUAUGUUUUAUCUAUGGGGGCUGUGUUUGCAAUUAUAGGAGGCUUAAUUCACUGGUUUCCUUUAUUUACAGGAGUAAAUUUAAAUCCUAAGUGACUAAAAAUUCAAUUUUAUACUAUGUUCAUUGGGGUUAAUAUAACAUUUUUCCCCCAACACUUUUUAGGACUAAACGGCAUGCCUCGACGUUACUCAGACUACCCCGAUGCAUUUACUACUUGAAACGUAUUAUCUUCGUUAGGAAGCUAUACCUCAGUAGCUGCCGUUAUUCUAUUCAGCUUUAUUAUUUGGGAAUCUAUUUCGACUGCCCGUCCUAGAGUCCAUAACUUUAUUUACUCUUCAUCAAUUGAAUGACUUCAAAAUAUACCCCCAUCCGAACACUCAUACUCGGAGCUAUCCUUAGUCACACAUUUUUAAUGUGGCAGAUUAGUGCAGUGAACUUAAAAUUCAAAAAUGAAUAAUUUAUUCUUUUAAAAAUUGCAACUUGAGCGGCUUUAGGGUUCCAAAACGCUUCUUCACCUUUAAUAGAACAACUAAUCUUUUUCCAUGACCACACCCUAACAAUUUUGAUUUUAAUUAUUUCUAUUGUAGGAUUUAAUUUAUUCUCAACUAUACACAACACAAAUAUUGACCAACAUAUAAUAGAAUCCCAAGGUUUAGAAUUAUUUUGAACUAUUAUCCCAAGUUUUAUUUUAAUUUUUAUCGGCCUUCCUUCUAUUCGCUUAUUAUAUUUAUUAGAUGAGGUCUAUAACCCGGCAAUCACCAUUAAAACUAUCGGACAUCAAUGAUAUUGAUCUUACGAAUAUUCAGAUUUUAUUAACUUAGAAUUUGACUCAUACAUAAUCCCGUCAAAUGAAAUAGAAAUAAAUAUAUUUCGUUUAAUUGACGUUGAUAACCGAAUAAUAGCCCCUCUGAACUCCCAAGUCCGCACUUUAAUUACAGCUGCUGAUGUUUUACACUCAUGAACAGUCCCAAGAAUGGGAAUUAAAGCUGACGCUGUGCCAGGACGUCUAAACCAAGUUAAUUUUUAUACAAACCGCCCUGGACUAUUUUUCGGGCAAUGCUCAGAAAUUUGCGGAGCAAAUCAUAGAUUUAUGCCCAUCGUAAUUGAAACAAUUCCAGGAAAAAACUUCAUUAAAUGAGUAAAAAAUAUAUCUAAAUAAACUAUU
RNA transcript from Folsomia candida, 3547 nucleotides. It is a transcript of the gene named cytochrome c oxidase subunit 1-like, with no coding region annotated. The transcript has a single exon. The record is from RefSeq and is a predicted model, not a curated record. Lineage: Eukaryota; Metazoa; Arthropoda; Collembola; Entomobryomorpha; Isotomidae.